Molecule: ribosomal RNA, 716 nt
Filed under: Halomonas saccharevitans
Lineage: Bacteria; Pseudomonadati; Pseudomonadota; Gammaproteobacteria; Oceanospirillales; Halomonadaceae
Description: bacterial SSU rRNA
Rfam family: Bacterial small subunit ribosomal RNA
Source: RNAcentral
GCCGCGUGUGUGAAGAAGGCUUUCGGGUUGUAAAGCACUUUCAGUGAGGAAGAAUGCCUUGGGCUUAAUACGUCCGAGGAAAGACAUCACUCACAGAAGAAGCACCGGCUAACUCCGUGCCAGCAGCCGCGGUAAUACGGAGGGUGCGAGCGUUAAUCGGAAUUACUGGGCGUAAAGCGCGCGUAGGUGGCUUGAUAAGCCGGUUGUGAAAGCCCCGGGCUCAACCUGGGAACGGCAUCCGGAACUGUCAGGCUAGAGUGCAGGAGAGGAAGGUAGAAUUCCCGGUGUAGCGGUGAAAUGCGUAGAGAUCGGGAGGAAUACCAGUGGCGAAGGCGGCCUUCUGGACUGACACUGACACUGAGGUGCGAAAGCGUGGGUAGCAAACAGGAUUAGAUACCCUGGUAGUCCACGCCGUAAACGAUGUCGACUAGCCGUUGGGGUCCUAGAGACCUUUGUGGCGCAGUUAACGCGAUAAGUCGACCGCCUGGGGAGUACGGCCGCAAGGUUAAAACUCAAAUGAAUUGACGGGGGCCCGCACAAGCGGUGGAGCAUGUGGUUUAAUUCGAUGCAACGCGAAGAACCUUACCUACCCUUGACAUCGUGCGAACUUUCCAGAGAUGGAUUGGUGCCUUCGGGAACGCACAGACAGGUGCUGCAUGGCUGUCGUCAGCUCGUGUUGUGAAAUGUUGGGUUAAGUCCCGUAACGAGCGCAACCC